This is a long non-coding RNA of Homo sapiens (human), 606 nucleotides long. NCBI's taxonomy places the organism in Eukaryota, Metazoa, Chordata, Mammalia, Primates, Hominidae. The record is from Ensembl.
CCGGAGUCAGGUAGUCAGCUCGCGUCCUCCUGGUACCCCAAUGCCGGCGACUCCUGAUCUGUUCCGCAAGCCUAGGAGCCCAGAAGGCAGUAGGGGUCCAGGAGCGGUGCCGCUGCUGCACAGCUGAGACCUGUAGGCACGUAGCCUUUCCCGAGGGCUACCACAAAAUUAACCGGGACACUCCAUCGCCUCAGGGCGCCUCGGAAACCAGGAGAUCAUGAGCUGCAGGUUGAUUGAUGGCAUCACAUCGAAGAACACUCUGGGGGGAGCUGUUUAUCCCCAUCUUCCAUCUGGAGCUGCUGGGAUAGAGUUCACUGUGAUGAUGGCUACUGAAUGAGCUGCACUGGCAGGACCUCUGUGACAAGGAAGGAUUGCGGCUAGGGAGCCAGGCCCGAAUCAAAGGAUGUCAAGGAAAUGAAUGGAGCUAAGCAGGAAACAGCCAACUCUUCUCAAACAUGAUGGGGCAGCAAUUCAAAAAGAAAGAUGGUGCACAGCUUUUAAAACUACAAAAUGGGAGAAUAUUAUGUUCCUUUGUUCUUUCACUUACAGAGGUUACUUUAUAGAUAUGUGUUUCAGAUCAAAUAAACAUGCUGCUAACAACUGAAA